This 100-nucleotide ribosomal RNA is filed under the name Vibrio alginolyticus. Its description in RNAcentral is "partial 16S ribosomal RNA". It matches the Rfam family "Bacterial small subunit ribosomal RNA", at positions 1434 to 1533 of the family's 1533-position model. RNAcentral also lists the same sequence under 1 other name. Lineage: Bacteria; Pseudomonadati; Pseudomonadota; Gammaproteobacteria; Vibrionales; Vibrionaceae. The record is from RNAcentral.
UUUAACCUUCGGGGGGACGCUUACCACUUUGUGGUUCAUGACUGGGGUGAAGUCGUAACAAGGUAGCGCUAGGGGAACCUGGCGCUGGAUCACCUCCUUA